RNAcentral lists this long non-coding RNA (291 nucleotides) under Hordeum vulgare. RNAcentral describes it as "long non-coding RNA (HVUL_LNC006437)". Lineage: Eukaryota; Viridiplantae; Streptophyta; Magnoliopsida; Poales; Poaceae. The record is from RNAcentral.
UAUCGGUGUCACCGAGUUGUGUCAUCUGACCGUUAGCCACCUUUUAGGUGCCACCGAGUUGUGUAUAUCAGUUCCAUCGAGAUUCAAAAGUUGUUGCCUUUAGUACAAGUCGGUACCACCGAGUUCAUGACUUCGGUGUCACCGAGUUGGUCACUUUAGGUGUAAUGAUUGGAUUUUGGGGGCUGCCUAUAUAUACCCCUCCACCCAUCUCUCAUUCGUGGGAGAAGCACUCAAAACACACACUUCAUUGUCAGAUCCAUUUUUCUGAGACAGAACCACCUACUCAUGUGU